UACGUAGGGGGCAAGCGUUGUCCGGAAUCAUUGGGCGUAAAGCGCGUGUAGGCGGCCAGAAAAGUCCGCUGUGAAAACUCGAGGCUCAACUUCGAGCUGUCGGUGGAAACUUUCUGGCUAGAGUCCGGAAGAGGAGAAUGGAAUUCCUGGUGUAGCGGUGAAAUGCGCAGAUAUCAGGAAGAACACCCGUGGCGAAGGCGGUUCUCUGGGACGGUACUGACGCUGAGACGCAAAAGCGUGGGGAGCGAACAGG
This 253-nucleotide ribosomal RNA is filed under the name uncultured bacterium. Its description in RNAcentral is "partial 16S ribosomal RNA". It matches the Rfam family "Bacterial small subunit ribosomal RNA", at positions 524 to 776 of the family's 1533-position model. The record is from RNAcentral.